Molecule: ribosomal RNA, 497 nt
Filed under: uncultured bacterium
Lineage: Bacteria
Description: partial 16S ribosomal RNA
Rfam family: Bacterial small subunit ribosomal RNA
Source: RNAcentral
GAUGAUCGCUGGCGGCGUGCCUAAUACAUGCAAGUCGAGCGAACAGAUGAGGAGCUUGCUCCUCUGACGUUAGCGGCGGACGGGUGAGUAACACGUGGAUAACCUACCUAUAAGACUGGGAUAACUUCGGGAAACCGGAGCUAAUACCGGAUAAUAUAUUGAACCGCAUGGUUCAAUAGUGAAAGACGGUUUUGCUGUCACUUAUAGAUGGAUCCGCGCCGCAUUAGCUAGUUGGUAAGGUAACGGCUUACCAAGGCAACGAUGCGUAGCCGACCUGAGAGGGUGAUCGGCCACACUGGAACUGAGACACGGUCCAGACUCCUACGGGAGGCAGCAGUAGGGAAUCUUCCGCAAUGGGCGAAAGCCUGACGGAGCAACGCCGCGUGAGUGAUGAAGGUCUUCGGAUCGUAAAACUCUGUUAUUAGGGAAGAACAAAUGUGUAAGUAACUAUGCACGUCUUGACGGUACCUAAUCAGAAAGCCACGGCUAACUACGUG